This 317-nucleotide unclassified non-coding RNA is filed under the name Melitaea cinxia (Glanville fritillary). RNAcentral describes it as "misc RNA ENSMCXG00005003507.1". The record is from RNAcentral. Lineage: Eukaryota; Metazoa; Arthropoda; Insecta; Lepidoptera; Nymphalidae.
UUUAUGUAUGUUACAUCAGAACUUUUGACUGGGUGGAGCGAUUUCGACAAAUUUUCUUUUAAUCGAAAGGUGGUGUGUGCCAAUUGGUCCCAUUUAAAUUUAUUUGAGAUCUAACAACUACUUUUCGAAUUAUAUCUAAUAAUGUGUUUUUACUUGACGCUUUUUUCGUCGACCUACGUUGUAUUAUAACGCAUAACUUUCUACUGGAUGUACCGAUUUUGAUAAUUCUUUUUUUGUUGGAAAGGGGAUAUCCCUAGUUUGGUACCGUGAUAAGGAAACUAGGAUCUGAUGAUGGGAUCCCAGAGAAAUCGAGGGAA